UUGUCCGGAUUUACUGGGUGUAAAGGGUGCGUAGGCGGAUUGGCAAGUCAGAAGUGAAAUCCAUGGGCUUAACCCAUGAACUGCUUUUGAAACUGUUAGUCUUGAGUGAAGUAGAGGUAGGCGGAAUUCCCGGUGUAGCGGUGAAAUGCGUAGAGAUCGGGAGGAACACCAGUGGCGAAGGCGGCCUACGGGGCUUUAACUGACGCUGAGGCACGAAAGUGUGGGUAGCAAACAGGAUUAGAUACCCUGGUAGUCCACACUGUAAACGAUGAUUACUAGGUGUGGGGGGUCUAACCCCCUCCGUGCCGGAGUUAACACAAUAAGUAAUCCACCUGGGGAGUACGACCGCAAGGUUGAAACUCAAAGGAAUUGACGGGGGCCCGCACAAGCAGUGGAGUAUGUGGUUUAAUUC
This 412-nucleotide ribosomal RNA is filed under the name uncultured bacterium. RNAcentral describes it as "bacterial SSU rRNA". It matches the Rfam family "Bacterial small subunit ribosomal RNA", at positions 541 to 952 of the family's 1533-position model. The record is from RNAcentral.